UACAGAGGUCUCAAGCGUUGUUCGGAUUCAUUGGGCGUAAAGGGUGUGUAGGUGGCGCGCUAAGUCGGGUGUGAAAUUUCGGAGCUUAACUCCGAAACUGCAUUCGAUACUGGCGUGCUUGAGGACUGGAGAGGAGACUGGAAUUUACGGUGUAGCAGUGAAAUGCGUAGAUAUCGUAAGGAAGACCAGUGGCGAAGGCGGGUUGCUGGGCUGAUACUGACGCUGAGGCGCGAAAGCCAGGGGAGCGAACGGG
This 253-nucleotide ribosomal RNA is filed under the name uncultured bacterium. RNAcentral describes it as "partial 16S ribosomal RNA". It matches the Rfam family "Bacterial small subunit ribosomal RNA", at positions 524 to 776 of the family's 1533-position model. The record is from RNAcentral.